UGAAUACGAGACGCUACGGCGUCGAAGCAGUCUAUGUCAGACUUCCAAGAAAAGCUCGCAAUGUCAUAAACAAAUAAUGCCUGUACCAUAACCGACACAGGUGGGUAGGUAGAGUAUACUAAGGGGCGCGAGAUAACUCUCUCUAAGGAACUCGGCAAAAUGACUCCGUAACUUCGGGAGAAGGAGUGCCUUAUUUAUAAGGUUGCAAUAACAAGAUCCAAGCAACUGUUUAUCAAAAACACAGGUCUCCGCUAAGUCGUAAGACGAUGUAUGGGGGCUGACGCCUGCCCAGUGCCAGAAGGUUAAAGAAGUUGGUUAGCAUUCGCGAAGCUGAUAACCGAAGCCCUGGUGAACGGCGGCCGUAACAAUAACGGUCCUAAGGUAGCGAAAUUCCUUGUCGGGUAAGUUCCGACCCGCACGAAAGGCGUAAUGAUUUGGAUACUGUCUCGGAGAGGGGCUCGGUGAAAUAGACUUGUCUGUGAAGAUGCGGACUACCUGCACCUGGACAGAAAGACCCUAUGAAGCUUUACUGUAACUUGAAAUUGAAAUUGGACUUUAUUUGCGCAGCAUAGGUGGGAGGCGUUGAGAGUAUUCUUGCGGGAAUAUUGGAGCCAUCAGUGAGAUACCACUCUUGUAAUGUUAGAUUUCUAACUUUGUAUCAUUAUCUGGUCAAAGAACAGUUUCAGGCGGGCAGUUUGACUGGGGCGGUCGCCUCCCAAACGGUAACGGAGGCGUACAAAGGUUUCCUCUGAACGGGUAGAAAUCGUAUCUAGAGUGUAAAGGCAUAAGGAAGCUUGACUGUGAGACCUACAAGUCGAGCAGGGACGAAAGUCGGUCUUAGUGAUCUGACGGUGCUGAGUGGAAAGGCCGUCACUCAACGGAUAAAAGUUACUCUAGGAUAACAGGCUGAUCUCCCCCAAGAGUUCACAUCGACGGGGAGGUUUGGCACCUCGAUGUCGGCUCAUCGCAUCCUGGGGCGGUAGUACGUCCCAAGGGUUGGGCUGUUCGCCCAUGAAAGCGGUACGCGAGCUGGGUUCAGAACGUCGUGAGACAGUUCGGUCCAUAUCCGGUGUAGGCGUUAGAAUAUUGAGAGGAGCCUUCUUUAGUACGAGAGGACCGAGAAGGACAUACCUCUGGUGUACCAGUUAUCGUGCCAACGGUAAACGCUGGGUAGCUAUGUAUGGAGAGGAUAACCGCUGAAAGCAUCUAAGUGGGAAGCCCACCUCAAGAUAAGUAUUCUCA
Molecule: ribosomal RNA, 1242 nt
Filed under: metagenome
Description: bacterial LSU rRNA
Rfam family: Bacterial large subunit ribosomal RNA
Source: RNAcentral